UCAUAAGAUGUAAAUUGAGGUCCAUUAU
This 28-nucleotide small RNA is filed under the name Bombyx mori (domestic silkworm). RNAcentral's name for it is "piRNA piR-bmo-1708435". Lineage: Eukaryota; Metazoa; Arthropoda; Insecta; Lepidoptera; Bombycidae. The record is from RNAcentral.